CAAAUUAGAGCUUGGUAAAGUUUUUUAUUUACAUUAAGAAGAUAAUUGUUUGAUUCAAUUUAAUUUGA
RNAcentral lists this transfer RNA (68 nucleotides) under Staphylinidae sp. BMNH 1274255. RNAcentral describes it as "tRNA-Val". The record is from RNAcentral. Lineage: Eukaryota; Metazoa; Arthropoda; Insecta; Coleoptera; Staphylinidae.